Molecule: ribosomal RNA, 2282 nt
Filed under: human gut metagenome
Description: bacterial LSU rRNA
Rfam family: Bacterial large subunit ribosomal RNA
Source: RNAcentral
UGAAAAGCACUUCGAACAGAAGAGUGAAAUAGUCCCUGAACCCAUACGCCUACAAGCAGUCGGAGCCGCUUCGUGCGGUGACGGCGUGCCUUUUGCAUAAUGAGCCUACGAGUUACUCAUCACCAGCGAGGUUAAGUACUUCAGGUACGUAAGCCGAAGCGAAAGCGAGUCUGAAUAGGGCGUCAAGUUGGUGGUGGUAGACGCGAAACCUUAGUGAUCUACCCAUGGGCAGGGUGAAGGUUUGGUAACACAAACUGGAGGCCCGAACCGGUAAACGUUGAAAAGUUUUCGGAUGACCUGUGGGUAGGGGUGAAAGGCCAAUCAAACUGGGAAAUAGCUCGUACUCUCCGAAAUGCAUUUAGGUGCAGCCUCUGUUGUUUUGUUCUAGAGGUAGAGCUACUGAUUGGAUGCGAGGGCUUCACCGCCUAUCAAAUCCGGCCAAACUCCGAAUGCUAGAACAUGAAGACAGGGAGUGAGCCAGCGGGUGCUAAGGUCCGUUGACGAAAGAGGGAGAACUCAGACCAUCAGCUAAGGUCCCCAAUUAUAUGCUAAGUUGGAAUAAAAACGGGGUGGGACUGCUUAGACAGCUAGGAUGUUGGCUUGGAAGCAGCCAUUCAUUUAAAGAGUGCGUAACAGCUCACUAGUCGAGCGGUCCUGCAUGGAUAAUACGCGGGCAUAAGCAUAUAACCGAAGCUAUGGGAUUGUAGAUGAUACAAUCGGUAGGAGAGCAUUCCAUUCAGCAUAGAAGCAGUACCGUGAGGUAUUGUGGAGCGGAUGGAAAAGCAAAUGUAGGCAUAAGUAACGAUAAUGCGGGUGAGAACCCCGCACGCCGAAAGAUCAAGGAUUCCCCGGCAAUGUCAAUCAUCCGGGGGUAAGUCGGAUCCUAAGGGUAAGCCGAGUGGCGAUCCCGAUGGCAAACAGGUUAAUAUUCCUGUACUGAUCAUAACUGCGAUGCAGCGACGCAGAGGUGACACUGCUGCGUACUGACGGAAUAGUACGUUGAAACCCGUAUUCUUUGAUACCGGUAGUGAAGCACGCCGGUAGAGAUGAAAGGUGAUAGUACCGCAAUGCUUCGGUUGCGCGGAUAAUGCAGGUAAGCUGACUGCCAAGAAAACCUGCUAAGCUUCAGGUAAUGAUCAUCCGUACUGUAAACGGACACACGUGAUCAGGUAGAAAAUACUAAGGCGCUGAGAGAUUCAUGGUUAAGGAACUAGGCAAAAUGGUCCUGUAACUUCGGGAUAAAGGACGCUCUUGUGAAAGAGCCGCAGAUAAUAGGCCCAGGCGACUGUUUACCAAAAACACAUGGCUAUGCUAAUUCGCAAGAAGAUGUAUAUGGCCUGACACCUGCCCGGUGCCGGAAGGUUAAGAGGAGAGCUCAGAUGUAAGUCGAAGGUUUGAAUUGAAGCCCCGGUAAACGGCGGCCGUAACUAUAACGGUCCUAAGGUAGCGAAAUUCCUUGUCGGGUAAGUUCCGACCUGCACGAAUGGUGUAACGAUCUGGGUACUGUCUCAACCAUGAGCUCGGUGAAAUUGUAGUUCCGGUGAAGAUGCCGGAUACCCGCAACGGGACGGAAAGACCCCGUGAACCUUUACUGCAGCUUUGCAUUGAUUUUGGGUAACAGAUGUGUAGGAUAGGUCGGAGGCUUUGAUGCUGCGUCGUCAGGCGUAGAGUAGCCGUCGUUGAAAUACGACCCUUUUGUUAUCUGAGGUCUAACCCGUUAGGGAGACAUUGCAUGGUGGGUAGUUUGACUGGGGUGGUCGCCUCCAAAAGUGUAACGGAGGCUUCUCAAGGUACCCUCAAGGCGUUUGGUAAUCGUCUGCAGAGUGCAAUGGCAUAAGGGUGCUUGACUGUGAGACCGACACGUCGAUCAGGUUGGAAACAAGAGCAUAGUGAUCCGGUGGUUCCGCAUGGAAGGGCCAUCGCUCAAAGGAUAAAAGGUACUCCGGGGAUAACAGGCUGAUCGCUCCCAAGAGCUCAUAUCGACGGAGCGGUUUGGCACCUCGAUGUCGGCUCGUCACAUCCUGGGGCUGGAGAAGGUCCCAAGGGUUCGGCUGUUCGCCGAUUAAAGUGGCACGCGAGCUGGGUUCAGAACGUCGUGAGACAGUUCGGUCCCUAUCUGUUGUGGGCGCAGGAUAUUUGAGGAGCUCUGACUCUAGUACGAGAGGACCGGGUUGGACAUACCUCUGGUGAAUCAGUUGUGUCGCCAGAUGCACUGCUGAGUAGCUAUGUAUGGAUUGGAUAAGCGCUGAAAGCAUCUAAGCGCGAAGCCAGCUUCAAGAUGA